UACGGAGGAUGCGAGUGUUAUCCGGAUUUAUUGGGUUUAAAGGGUGCGUAGGCGGGAUGCCAAGUCAGCGGUAAAAAUGCGGUGCUCAACGCCGUCGAGCCGUUGAAACUGGCGUUCUUGAGUGGGCGAGAAGUAUGCGGAAUGCGUGGUGUAGCGGUGAAAUGCAUAGAUAUCACGCAGAACUCCGAUUGCGAAGGCAGCAUACCGGCGCCCUACUGACGCUGAGGCACGAAAGCGUGGGUAUCGAACAGG
This 252-nucleotide ribosomal RNA is filed under the name uncultured bacterium. Its description in RNAcentral is "partial 16S ribosomal RNA". It matches the Rfam family "Bacterial small subunit ribosomal RNA", at positions 524 to 776 of the family's 1533-position model. The record is from RNAcentral.